AUGGUUGCAUGUGAUUUUGAUCUGAAUUUCACAUUUAUUUCAUGUGGGUGGGAAGGGUCCGCAUCAGAUGCAGGAGUUCUUCGUUCUACUAUUAGCAAGGGGUUUCAUGUGCCAGAAGGAAAAUUUUAUCUCGUAGAUGGUGGAAAUGCAAACACGCCUUCUUUUCUUGCACUAUAUCGAGGAUUCGGUACCACCUGA
This 198-nucleotide ribosomal RNA is filed under the name Triticum aestivum (bread wheat). Its description in RNAcentral is "partial small subunit ribosomal RNA". Lineage: Eukaryota; Viridiplantae; Streptophyta; Magnoliopsida; Poales; Poaceae. The record is from RNAcentral.